This is a long non-coding RNA of Drosophila hydei, 478 nucleotides long. RefSeq lists it as uncharacterized. The transcript has 2 exons. NCBI's taxonomy places the organism in Eukaryota, Metazoa, Arthropoda, Insecta, Diptera, Drosophilidae. The record is from RefSeq and is a predicted model, not a curated record.
AGUUUUUCAUCGUUCUCGUUGAUUUGAAGAUCGAAAAUGAAGAUUUUAGCUACGAUAUUUGUUAUUUUUGUAUGUUUCCUAGUUUGCGUUAAUUCACUCUUUGAUAUGCGCUGCUUUAAGAGACCGAGCCCAAAUAACAAAAGAUGCCACAUUAGAGCCAUAACGCAGUGGAAUUACGAAGUGGUUGCCAACAUGUGCUAUCCGUACGAAUGGAACAGAUGUAAGGUGAAUGGUACCGAAAACCGUUUCCCAAGUCAAGAGGCGUGCUGGAGCAUGUGCGGCAUGUAUACCACAACAAGACAGCCAGACAAAUAUCAUUGAUCCGCUCUGGACAUAGUUUAGCUUAGAAUAUAUACUAAGCACUCGCAAAGAACUGCUCUUUCAAUAAUUUCAGCUCACUGGGAAAUUUGGCCACUAGAACUGAGCAGGAAAAUUAUUCAAGCAGCGUGCGUAAUUAAACACAAACGAGCUUAAGCAA